GAGAAACCUUUUGCAGUCCUUGUCAA
Molecule: non-coding RNA, 26 nt
Filed under: Mus musculus (house mouse)
Lineage: Eukaryota; Metazoa; Chordata; Mammalia; Rodentia; Muridae
Source: RNAcentral